Molecule: small RNA, 147 nt
Filed under: Bacillus sp. (in: firmicutes)
Lineage: Bacteria; Bacillati; Bacillota; Bacilli; Caryophanales; Bacillaceae
Also listed under: 1 other name
Description: Bacillus sp. c-di-AMP sequence
Rfam family: c-di-AMP riboswitch aptamer (ydaO/yuaA leader)
About the family: This family represents a conserved RNA structure found upstream of the ydaO and yuaA genes in Bacillus subtilis and related genes in other bacteria. The ydaO/yuaA element is thought to act as a genetic "off" switch for the ydaO and yuaA genes in its native state. It is believed that the element may be triggered during osmotic shock leading to activation of ydaO, a predicted amino acid transporter gene, and members of the yuaA-yubG operon which code for KtrA and KtrB K+ transporters.
Source: RNAcentral
UUUAAUAAGAAGCUUAGUCUACAUUAGAGCGGGGGAACCACAAAUUUGGUAUAUCAUAUGCCUUGGGGUGAAUCUUUCCUGAGUGAAAGUAGGGUACUCUCAAACCCGAAUCCGACAGUUAACCUCGUCUGCUUAUUGAGAGAAAGA